Molecule: long non-coding RNA, 1171 nt
Organism: Coregonus clupeaformis (lake whitefish)
Lineage: Eukaryota; Metazoa; Chordata; Actinopteri; Salmoniformes; Salmonidae
Exons: 3
Source: RefSeq, a predicted model, not a curated record
GUCUGCAUUAGCCUAACUACUCGAACACACCCAUUGCCUGUCAUGUACAUAGCAAGGCAGAUUUCUGGGCGACACGACCAAAUGUACAUAGAAAUGUUAAGUAUAGAUCUGUCAUACUCAUCGAAAGUAAGUCUAAGAAGCAGUAGAUCCGUUCUAUGUGCCCUAUUUCUAACAUGUCGGUUAAAUUGUGUUUUUUCAUCUUUUUACUUUCGGCUUUGUACAACGGCACCUGACAGCUGAAAAUACAAUAUUUUAUCGAAAGGAUAUUUCACAGUGCUUUAGAUUGUACAAUGAUUAGCUUGUUUUGUUUCAUAAACUGAAAUUAGGCGAACCAUUAUAAUUUUAGCAACCAGGAACUUUUGGUGGACUGACGCAUAUAUUGCAUGAGGUGGCCUCAAACGCAGAUCAGACCAGAGACAGAACGAACAAAAGCAAACGGACCGAAAGCAUGUGUAAUAGCAUCCAUGUGACAGGGACGUGUUUGGCUCCUUGAACGUGAAGGGCACCUUCUCAGGCCGGUACUCCGUCAGCGCUGACUUCAAAUGUCUGGGGCCCAAAAAAGUCCUCAGAGAGGCCCUCCACAUGGCCUCCACCCUCCUCCAGGUGGCAGGUCACAUGUUGAUCUGAUCAAGCGGAUCAUCGAGGGAGCAGAGUUCUGGCAACCCCAGAGGGUGGAGGCCGCAGAGUGCUGGAACUAAGGCAGUACUGGGACUGACCGCUCUCUAAUAACCAAAUCAACUUGAGUGUAUGUUUAUGAUUGAGUUAUGCAAUGUUGUGAGUUGUGAUCAAAAAGGAGGAUAAUUACACAUUGUUUAGCUUUUUUAUAAGGUUAGUUUUAAAAUAGGAUGUAUCUUUCUCUAAUAAUUCUCAGAAUGUACCAGGAAAAUCCACAAAUGCAAGCAAUUAAUUAAAAAAACUGAGUAUGCAUUAUUUGUCACUUUCUUUGUAGUUUCUAAUCACUGUCUCAUCUUGUGUUCAAUAAAUGCUUUCAGUUGUGACAUCCACUCAGUCCACUAUCAGAGACACCCACUUGCAGAACAUGGAGAAACAGUUCUGUUAAUUCAUAAAAGGGUAUGAGAAAACCUGCCCAGCACUUGAGGAACCAACAGAACUCAACAUAAUCUGAGCCUUUAGAUACUGUACCUUUAAUUAGGCUAUAACUGAGUUAAUU